CACAACACAUGAUUCAUCAAUUUCCUAGCAUUUCAUUUUACUUGUACAUCUUAUAGCUACAUCGCAUUGAUUCGAAAGUGUACCUGGUAUUAAAAGCAAAAGAAGAGGAAGACGAGAAUCAGCAGAGCAGUAGCAAACAAUAACAACAGUAACAACCAGUACAGUAGUUUUAACGCCUCAACCCAGAAAUCCCAGCAACACGGAGAAAACCAGUAAUAAAAAUAGAAAAGAAAAAUAUUUUGGAAAUCUCUCUUUGUUUUCUCUUUCUAGCUUUUAACUCUCUUCAACUCUCAAAAUAAACUCUCUAAAAUUAAAUUCUGUCCAUGUAUACUGGGUGUAUCCAGAGUGUAUACUUCUGAAAUUCUUCAAAAAUUAAAUUCUGUCAGCGUAUACUGAGUGUAUGAAGAGUGUAUAUCGAGUGUAUACUUAUCUCUCCUCUCCCUUAUUUUUUUCUUCUCCUCCUAUUUUCUCUCUUUUUUGUGUGUUUUUGCAAUUCUCCUCUCCCCUUUUGGAAGUGUGAUUCCGUCUAUAUAUAUCACAACAAACAAUUAUUUCGAAAAUUCAAAAAAUAAUCUUUUUGGUAGAUUUUCUACAAAUUCUGCUCUUAAUUCAAAGAGCAAUACUUUCUCCAUCAAAUCUUGUCAAAAAGAGAGUAUUUCAAACAAAAAUCUGCAGUUUGUUGUUCAAGGAUAGACUUUUGUUCAAAAAUUGUCCAAAAGUCUAUAUUUCUUACCAAACAAAUGACUUUUGAAUUUUAUACUCAAAAAGUCGUAGUAAAUAAACAAACAAACAAAUACCAUAUACUCUUAAGUAUUCACUACUUCACUUUUAUCAGUACAAAACUAUUUUACUAUUUCAACAAGUGCAAAAAUAGAAAAUUUAACCAUUUUUAAAAAUCUGAAAAUAAAAAAUAAAAAAUAAAAAAUAAAAUCAGCCAUGAAAAAGAAUAGUAUUUUACCAUUUUACAACUCAAAUGGCCGAAAAAAUGGUGGUAUUCCAAGAAGGAUGUUUGGAGAGGUCGCUGGAAUUUGGCCGGAUUUUGGUCGCCGAAUUUUAGGUAGAAUUGACAUCAAUAGCUAGGUCUUGAGUAUCUAUCCGUUAAUGUAUGUAUUGUGGGGUGGUAGUGGCCGGAACUUCAAUAACUUGGGCAAAAAAGUGACGGGAAAAUUUCUUAGAUCUAAGAUUGAAGGAGUUUGAGAGUUUUUCUGAAGGAUAUGGCUUGGAGAUAUGGAAAGAGGAGGUGAUGGAGAUUACAUGGUUAAAUUUUGGGGUGGAUUGGAGGUCGGCCGCCGCCGGUGGGUGAUUUUCGGCGGCAGCGAUGGGGCGGCGCCAACAGUCUUAGGAGGGAGAGAAGAGAGAGUGAUGAGAGGGAAAGAAGAGAGAGGAAAU
This 1389-nucleotide long non-coding RNA is filed under the name Nicotiana benthamiana. Its description in RNAcentral is "long non-coding RNA (NBEN_LNC021743)". Lineage: Eukaryota; Viridiplantae; Streptophyta; Magnoliopsida; Solanales; Solanaceae. The record is from RNAcentral.